UUUUAUUACAUCCAUAAUGUUACCUGAAAUUUUUAUACAAUAUUUUUCAUACACAGUAUAUUUUUGAGCCUGUCUUAUAAUGAGUAUUUUAACAUUGCUUCAGCUGUCCUUUCUUAAAAAUGAUGAUUAGAUUGUUCGUUUUCUUUAUGGCAGAGUGAGCAGUAAUGAGUGCUUUUUCUUUUCUACAUAUAAUGUAGAAAAAAUGUUAUGAGUAUUAUUUUUAAGCAUAUUUUAGAAUGGGAUGUCAUGAUUAAAAAAUCUGAUCACAAAAUAAUGGUGUUCUGUUAUACAGUUAUCUGGAUAAUGUUUUUUAAUUUCAGUAUAAUUUAUAUACAGUGCAAUAUUCAGAUAUUAUGUAUACUCAUCAAUCAGAUUUGAUGAAUGCAUAUCAAAAUAUGAACACUUCCAUCACUUCAUUAAUUUUCCUUGUGUCCCUUUUCAGUCAAUCUUCCCCACAGAAGCAAAUAUCUAUCACAAGUUAUUUUGGCUUGUUCUAGAAUUUCAAAUAAAUGAAAUCACACAGUGUGUAUUGUUUGACUAGUUUCACUCAGCAUAACUUUUUUGAGAUCCAUCUGUGAUGUUGCUGUAUCAGUAGAUUGUUUCAUUUUACUUCCUAAUAACGUUUAUAAAAGCAAAACAAGUUUAUUUAUUCAUUCACCUCUUAAUAAAUAUCAUAGGUUAUUUCUGGUUUUGGGCUAUUAGGAAUGAAGCUGUAUAAACAUUUUUAAACAGGGCUUUCUAUGGACAUAUAUUUCCAUUUCUUUUGGAUAAUUAAUUAGGAAUGUAAAUUGCUGCGUCAUAGGGUAGUUGCAUAUUCAGCUUUAAAAUAACCUGACAAAUAGUUUUCCAAAGUGGUUGUAUAAUUUUAGUUAAUUUUUUAAAAAAUGACUUAAGUAACUUAGUAUUUGAAGUACUCACAGUUUUCUCAGUGAAACACCAAAUUUUAAAACAUAACAAAUAAAUAAGAAUCAAGUAGUAUUUUGUGGAUAAUUUACUAAUUAGAUGUGAUUUAAAAGGACAACAAAAUCAUAUCAUUGGCAAAAUUAUUAAAGUUGUAAAUGCUUAUAGAUUUCUACCUAAAAUAUAUAUGACUGACUUUCUCCUUAGUUCGUCAGUAGGGUUGAGACUUUGUGGUCAGUUUUUUACUCCUUGGCAAUGUGAAUAUUAGGUUUAAAGCCCAAGGUUUUCAUAGUUAGGGAUGAACUUGUCUAAUAAUUCUUAUUUCAUCAAUGAUUAUAAUUAUUAGAAACAUGAUUUUUUUUUGGUCUGAUUUUGAAAUUGUUAGCUUUCAUGAAUAUUGUAAAGAGAUGUGUUAAUUGGUAAUUUUUUGCAACAAUGGCCAGAUAUUACAGGGGAAAAUCUGGUUAAGUAUCUUAAGGAAAAUUCCAUACUGUGAAAUUUGCAAGUUUAGUGACAAUCAUUGAACUUACAUAUACUUUCUAUGAUCAAAGUUAUGUAGUAAGUUUUUUUGGAGGAAGGAUAUGCAAGAGAAAGGUAGAUAUGCAUCUCAGACAGGUAUUCAUUAACUCGUUCAUGUAAUAUGUAUUUGUCAGAUGCCUAUCAUUUGCCAAACACUGAGCCAGGCAGUGGGUAUACAGUAUUGAAUAAAAUAGAUCCCAUCACUGAACUCUAGGAGCUCAUUGUCUAGGAGAAUAGACGGAAAUUAAAGAAGCAGACAUGCAAAUAAAAAUAUCAUAAAAGCUUGAAAUAAGUGCUCUGAGGAAAAAUUAUGUGAGAAAUAUGAGAGUACUGUGGGUAGAGAUAAUACUUUUGAUUUGUAUGGUAUAUGUUUACUUUUGGGUUUGAACACUGUGAGGAGAAUGUGGAGAUACAUCCUUCACGUGUGUAUAAAGUUUGUGCUCUUCUAAAUGAUAGAAUGUUUUGAGUUGCAUAAAAAUUAAAAUAUACACAUGUGACAUGGAAGUACUAUGUAAAUAUUUCUGUUUAGAUGUUUAACUAGACACACAUAAUUACAAAUAAUUUUGUGGUCAUAUAUAUUUACUAUUGAAUACAUAACGGUCUGAGGAUUCUUUCUUUACUUAAUUGCGUUAUACUUCUUUACUAUUCUUACCUAAUUUUAAACUUAAACCCUCAGGAAGUAUUGCCCUUAUGUAUUUUGGUUGAUAGAUUAAUAGCUUUAUGGCUAAUACUCUCAAUAGAACUUGUUAAACGUAAUACAUCUGUUAUAAGGUUUAAAUGAUACCUUCUUCCAGAUCCUAAGAAAAGUACAAGUAAUUAUGUUCUCAUUUUAUUGGUACACCAUUGCCUUUACAGUGACAGUCAAAAGCAUUGUGCAGUGUAAAUAGAAUAAAAUACAGUGAUCUUAAUCUGGAGAAACAGGUUUAUUUUUUCCAACUGGAGAUAUCUGAAAUGCUUGUCAUAAAGAAAUUAUAAAAACAUUUGAGUAGAUGUUAAACACUACAAAGAGCUUGAGGGUAAAUGCUUAAGUUUUUUCUUGGUGACUCCUGCAUAAGUUAGCUUAUGAUCAGAUAAUCAGUUGUCUGGGUAAAAAAACAAACAAACAAACAAGUGUUUAGAUGCUUAAGUAUAUAUAGUGUAACACAUUUGACUAGAAAAAUCUGAAUAAUGGGACAUUUAAAAAACUUAUCCUUUGCUCUUAUUUUUUAAAGCUAACAUCUGAUUUAAUAACAAUUUGAAAAAUAGUUGAGAAAUAUUAAAAAGUUAUAAAAGAUGUUAGCUUUACUGAUAAUGAUGUAAAAAUUGUAUUUAUUAAUCUGCCAGCAGAUGUCAAAUAUAAAUAAAAGCAAGUAUUAAAAAGACUGGAUGAAAAGUAGGCAGAAACCAGAAGGUAUAUUUGCAUUUACAUGGUUUGUCAGCCAAGAAUAUUUGUCAGUUUGUGUAAGGCAGGAUGGCUGGAACCUAAGAAGUUUGUUUGUAAAUUCUGCUAAAUCCUUGAUUGACCUCUGGACUAUACAUAGUAUGCUAUGCUCCAGAAGAUCUUGUAGAAAGCAACAGCUGAAAGAUUAAGAGGACUUUUCAGAGAUUUCAGAUACUGUCCAAGGCAAGUGAAGAAACAGAAGAAUAUGAGCCAAAAUCCGGAGAAAAACUGAAUAGGGGGGACCUUCAAGAUGGCAGAGGAGUAAGACGUGGAGAUCACCUUCCUCCCCACAAAUACAUCAGAAAUACAUCUACAUGUGGAACAACUCCUACAGAACACCUACUGAGCACUGGCAGAAGACCUCAGACUUCCCAAAAGGCAAGAAACUCCCCACGUACCUGGGUAGGGCAAAAGAAAAACGAAAAAACAGAGACAAAAGAGGAGGGGUGGGGCCUGCACCUUGGGGAGGGAGCUGUGAAGGAGGAAAAGUUUCCACACACUAGGAAGCCCCUUCACUGGUGGAGAUGGGGUGUGGGCAGAAGGGAAGCUUUGGAGCCAUGGAGGAGAGUGCAGCAACAGGGGUGCAGAAGGCAAAGCAGAGAGAUUCCUACACAGAAGUUCGGUGCCGACCAGCACUCACCAGCCCGAGAGGCUUGUCUGCUCACCCACCAGCAUGGGACGGGUGGGGGCUGGGAGCUGAGGUUCGGGCUUCAGAGGUCAGAUCCCAGGGAGAGGACUGGGGUUGGCUGUGUGCACAGGGCCUCAAGGGGGCCUGUGCGCCACAGCUAGCCAGGACAGAGUCUGGGAAAAAGUUUGGACCUGCGUAAGAGACCAUUGUUUCGGGGUGCGUGAGGAAAAGUGAUUCAGAGCACUACCUAAACGAACUCCAGAGAUGGGCGCAAGCGGCUAUCAGUGUGGGCACCAGUGACAGGCAUGAAACGCUAAGGCUGCUGCUGCAGCCACGAAGAAUCCUGUGUGCAAGCACAGGUCGCUAUCCACACCUCCCCUCCCUGGAGCCUGUGCAGCCUGCCACUCUCAGGGUCCCAUGAUCCAGGGACAACUUCCCUGGGAGAACACACGGCGCGCCUCAGGCUGUUGCAGUGUCACUCUGGCCUCUGCUACCGCUGGCUCACCCCGCAUUCCCUACUCCUCCCUUCCCCUGGCCUGAGUGAGCCAGAGCCCCCUGAUCAGCUUCUACUUUAACUCCGUCCUGUCUGAGCAAAGAACAGAUGCCCUCAGGCGACCUACAUGCAGAGGCAGGGCCAAAUCCAAAGCUGAAACCCAGGAGCUGUGCGAACAAAGAGAAAGGGAAAUUUCUCCCAGCAGCCUCAGGAGCAGCAGAUUAAAUCCUGACAAUUAACUUGAUGUACCCUGCAUCUCUGGAACACCUGAAUAGACAAUGAAUCAUACCAAAAUUGAGGUGGUGCACUUUGGGAGCAACUGUAAACUUGGGGUUUGCAUUCUGCGUCUAAUUUGCUUCUGGUUUUAUGUUUAUCUUUGUUUAGUAUUUACAGCUUAUUAUCACUGGUAGAUUUGUUUAUUGAUUUGGUUGCUCUCUUCCUUUUUUUUUAAGUAUAUGUAUAUUUUUUCUUUUGCUCUAUUUGUGAAUGUAUAUGUGUAUACUACUUUGUGUGAUUUUGUCUGUAUAGCUUUGCUUUUACCAUUUGUCCUGGGGUUCUGUCUGUCUGGUUUUUUUGUUUGUUUGUUUGUUUUGUUUUUUAUUAUAGCUUUAGCACUUGUUAUCCCUGGUGGAUUUGUUUUUCUGGUUUGGUUGCUCGCUUCUUUCUCUCUUUCUUUCUUUCUUUCUUCUUUCUUUCUUUCUUUCCCUCUCUCUUUCAUUACUUCUUAAUUUUUAAUAAUAUAUUUUUAAAUAACUUUAUUUUAUUUUAUUUAUUUCUUCCUUUCUUUUUAUUUUCUUCUGGGCUGUGUGGCUGACAAAGUCUUGGUGCUCCGGCUGCGUGUCAGGCCUGAGCCUCUGAGGUGGGAGAGCUGAGUUCAAGACAUAGGAUCAUUGGAGACAUCCUGGCCCCACGUAAUAUCAAUGGGUGAGAGCUUUCCCAGGAAUCUCUGUCUCAAUGCUAAGGCCCAGCUCCACUCAAUAACUAGCAAGCUCCAGUACUGGACACCCCAUGCCAAACAACAAGCAAGACAGGAACACAACCCCAGCCAUUAGCGGAGAGGCUUCCUAAAAUCAUAUUAAGUUCACAGACACCCCAAACACACUGCCAGAUAUGGUCCCACCCACCAAAAAGACAAGAUCCAACCUCAUCCACCAGAAAACAGGCACCAGUCCCCUCCACCAGGAAGCCUACACAACCCACUGUACCAACCUUAACCACUGGGGGCAGACACUAAAAACAAAGGGAAUUUUGAACCUGCAGCCAGCGAAAAGGAGACUCCAAACACAGUAAGUACAGCAAAGUGAGAAGACAGAGAAAUACACAGCAGAUGAAGCAGGAAGGUAAAUGCCAACCAGACCAGACAAAUGAAGAGGAAAUAGGCAGUCUACCUGAAAAAGAAUUCAGAGUAAUGAUAGUAAAGAUGAUCCAAAAUCUUGGAAAUAGAAUGGAGAAAAUACAAGAAACAUUUAACAAGGACCUAGAAGAACAAAAGAGCAAACAAACAAUGAAGAACAACAAAAUAAAUGAAACUGAAAAUUCUCUAGAAGGAAUCAAUAGCAGAAUAACUGAGGCAGAAGAACAGAUAAGUGACCUGGAAGAUAAAAUAGAGCAAACAACUACCACAGAGCAGAAUAAAGAAAAAAGAAUGAAAACAAUUAAGGACAGUCUCAGAGACCUCAGAGACAAUAUAAAAUUCACCAACAUUCGAAUUAUAGGGCUCCCAGAAGAAGAAGAGAAAAAGAUAGGGACUGACAAAAUAUUUGAAGCGAUUAUAGUUGAAAACUUGCCUAAGAUGGGAAUGGAAACAGUCAAUCAAAUCCAGGAAGCACAGAGAGUCCCAUACAGGAUAAAUCCAAGGAGAAACAUGCCAAGACACAUAUUAAUCAAAACAUCAAAAAUUAAAUACAAAGAAAAAAUAUUAAAAA
Orcinus orca (killer whale) is the source of this 5885-nucleotide long non-coding RNA. RefSeq lists it as uncharacterized. The transcript is spliced from 2 exons. NCBI's taxonomy places the organism in Eukaryota, Metazoa, Chordata, Mammalia, Artiodactyla, Delphinidae. The record is from RefSeq and is a predicted model, not a curated record.